This is a non-coding RNA of Firmicutes bacterium CAG:466, 99 nucleotides long. Lineage: Bacteria; Bacillati; Bacillota. The record is from Rfam.
UCUUGCAGAGAUAAAAACACGAUCCGGUUGGUAGUCCGGAUGCGGCAAGAAGCCGUCAGUAACCUGCCUCCUUGGUUGUCCCUUCUUUGUGCAGUAAAA